GAAAAUAUGGAGAGUGAUAAUGGUGAAGCAGAAGUGGAAGUUAGUGGAAGUAAAGAAGGGUAUGAAUAAGUCUCCUCCAGUGAAUUAGGAGAUUGAAGUUGUGGUUUCAUGAAGUUGUUUACGUGUUUCUUAUUGCCAUAUGGGAUGGAUAGUGGCUCUUAUUACCCUUUUAUUGGGAUGGUUCCAUUUUUUAAUUUUUU
Molecule: long non-coding RNA, 200 nt
Filed under: Lathyrus oleraceus (garden pea)
Lineage: Eukaryota; Viridiplantae; Streptophyta; Magnoliopsida; Fabales; Fabaceae
Description: Pisum sativum (pea) long non-coding RNA (PSAT_LNC007817)
Source: RNAcentral